UACGAAGGGGGCUAGCGUUGUUCGGAAUCACUGGGCGUAAAGCGCACGUAGGCGGAUUUUUAAGUCAGGGGUGAAAUCCCGAGGCUCAACCUCGGAACUGCCUUUGAUACUGGAGAUCUUGAGUCCGGAAAAGGUAAGUGGAACUGCGAGUGUAGAGGUGAAAUUCGUAGAUAUUCGCAAGAACACCAGUGGCGAAGGCGGCUUACUGGUCCGGAACUGACGCUGAGGUGCGAAAGCGUGGGGAGCAAACAGG
RNAcentral lists this ribosomal RNA (253 nucleotides) under uncultured bacterium. RNAcentral describes it as "partial 16S ribosomal RNA". It matches the Rfam family "Bacterial small subunit ribosomal RNA", at positions 524 to 776 of the family's 1533-position model. The record is from RNAcentral.